AUACGGAGGAUCCGAGCGUUAUCCGGAUUUAUUGGGUUUAAAGGGUGCGCAGGCGGCCAUUUAAGUCAGCGGUUAAAUCGUGGGGCUCAACCCCAUUCUGCCGUUGAUACUGGGUGGCUUGAUUGCGGUCGAGGUUGGCGGAAUUCGUUGUGUAGCGGUGAAAUGCAUAGAUAUGACGAAGAACACCGAUUGCGUAGGCAGCUGACCAGACCGCAAAUGACGCUCAGGCACGAAAGUGCGGGGAUCGAACAGGAUUAGAUACCCUGGUAGUCCGGACAGUAAACGAUGAAUACUUGUUUUCGGCGAUAUAAUGUCGGAGGCAAAGCGAAAGCGAUAAGUAUUCCACCUGGGGAGUUCGCCGUGAACGGUGAAACUCAAAUUAAAUUACGGGG
Molecule: ribosomal RNA, 392 nt
Filed under: uncultured bacterium
Lineage: Bacteria
Description: partial 16S ribosomal RNA
Rfam family: Bacterial small subunit ribosomal RNA
Source: RNAcentral